GGAAGGGGGAGAGAGAUGACAAGCAGGCAGAGAGGCAGGCAGAGAGAAAGGAGGAAGCAGGCUCCCUGCUGAGCAGAGAGCCCCAUG
This 87-nucleotide long non-coding RNA is filed under the name Mustela putorius furo (domestic ferret). RNAcentral describes it as "lncRNA (ENSMPUG00000032124.1)". Lineage: Eukaryota; Metazoa; Chordata; Mammalia; Carnivora; Mustelidae. The record is from RNAcentral.